CCUUGUGUCAUUUUUCUGCUCAUGUUUCUAUUUUCCCUAGAUUCGUUUGCAUUAUUUCUCAUUAGUGAUUGUGUUAUAUGGUCCCCUAUAAGAAGGAAGAAAUGUAGAGCUGCACCACAUCCAGCUCUCUGGCUUGAUCUUGAGGAAUAUUUGCUACUCAUCUUUCAGCUGCAUCAGCUAACCAUAUUUGACCACAUUGUAUGGCCUUGCUUUUCUUUGCUACAUGGGGGAACCACAUCAGGUCUGCUGCUUGAGGAGCCUCAGCACCUGCAGAGGAGAACAUAUGAGUUUGGCCUGGAUGAAUACAUCGCUGAUUGAGAAGUGUCAGAAAACAUUUGGAUGAGGUUCUGCAAAACUUUUAUAGCCUUAAUGGAACAGGAUUGAAAUCCAACGCUGACGGCACAUAGCCCCACCUCUGCCAAUAUCAGAUCAAUAUGGAUUUUCAAGAGAAAUCCUCAAAGCCAUGCUUUGUGCCUCAUGAAGCCCGUGUGAUGGCUCAGGUGCAGGGAUGGAGCUGCACCAAUAUUUAUAGCAGAAGGCUGCUAAUGCUACAUUGUGUGACAGCCAAUAAAUCUUCUCUUUGAAUGAAUGCUGCA
Molecule: long non-coding RNA, 596 nt
Filed under: Crocodylus porosus (Australian saltwater crocodile)
Lineage: Eukaryota; Metazoa; Chordata; Crocodylia; Crocodylidae
Description: lncRNA (ENSCPRG00005016834.1)
Source: RNAcentral